RNAcentral lists this non-coding RNA (224 nucleotides) under Peptococcaceae bacterium. Its description in RNAcentral is "T-box sequence". It matches the Rfam family "T-box leader". Rfam says of the family: Uncharged tRNA acts as the effector for transcription antitermination of genes in the T-box leader family. T-boxes are found upstream of many aminoacyl-tRNA synthetase genes and some amino acid biosynthetic genes usually in Gram-positive bacteria. The anticodon of a specific tRNA base pairs to a specifier sequence within the T-box motif, and the NCCA acceptor tail of the tRNA base pairs to a conserved bulge in the T-box antiterminator hairpin. The record is from RNAcentral. Lineage: Bacteria; Bacillati; Bacillota; Clostridia; Eubacteriales; Peptococcaceae.
AAGUAUGCGAUGAGGGAAAGAGUAUCCGGGUUAGUUUCGCCCAGAGAGCCGGCGGAUGGUGCAAGCCGGUGGAAUUGCCCGGUGAAAGGGGUUCCCGAGCCGCAGGAGGAACGCCGGUUUUAAUUUUAGCCGGUUAGUAAAGCCUGCACUUUUUAAAGUGGGCCGCCCGGUGUUGCCGGGGGUCAAACAGGGUGGAACCGCGGGAAAUACCUCCCGUCCCUGGC